Molecule: ribosomal RNA, 418 nt
Filed under: uncultured bacterium
Lineage: Bacteria
Description: partial 16S ribosomal RNA
Rfam family: Bacterial small subunit ribosomal RNA
Source: RNAcentral
AUAUUGGUCAAUGGGCGCAAGCCUGAACCAGCGACGUCGCGUGAAGGAAGACGGCCCUACGGGUUGUAAACUUCUUUUGUAAGGGACUAAAGUGUAGUACGUGUACUAUUUUGCAUGUACCUUACGAAUAAGGAUCGGCUAACUCCGUGCCAGCAGCCGCAGUAAUACGGAGGAUCCGAGCGUUAUCUGGAUUUAUUGGGUUUAUAGGGUGCGCAGGCGGGCGAUUAAUUCGGCGGUGAAAUUUUGCAGCUUAACUGUAAAAGUGCCUUCGAAACUGGUUUCCUUGAGUGUAGAUGAAGUAGGCGGAAUUUGUGGUGUAGCGGUGAAAUGCAUAGAUAUCACGAGGAACUCCGAUUGCGCAGGCAGCUUACUAAACUACUACUGACGCACAGGCACGAAGGCGUGGGGAUCAAACAGG